GACGAACGCUGGCGGCGUGCCUAAUACAUGCAAGUCGAGCGAACAGACGAGGAGCUUGCUCCUUCGACGUUAGCGGCGGACGGGUGAGUAACACGUAGGUAACCUACCUAUAAGACUGGGAUAACUUCGGGAAACCGGAGCUAAUACCGGAUAAUAUUUCGAACCGCAUGGUUCGAUAGUGAAAGAUGGCUUUGCUAUCACUUAUAGAUGGACCUGCGCCGUAUUAGCUAGUUGGUAAGGUAACGGCUUACCAAGGCAACGAUACGUAGCCGACCUGAGAGGGUGAUCGGCCACACUGGAACUGAGACACGGUCCAGACUCCUACGGGAGGCAGCAGUAGGGAAUCUUCCGCAAUGGGCGAAAGCCUGACGGAGCAACGCCGCGUGAGUGAUGAAGGUCUUCGGAUCGUAAAACUCUGUUAUUAGGGAAGAACAAACGUGUAAGUAACUGUGCACGUCUUGACGGUACCUAAUCAGAAAGCCACGGCUAACUACGUG
This 497-nucleotide ribosomal RNA is filed under the name uncultured bacterium. Its description in RNAcentral is "partial 16S ribosomal RNA". It matches the Rfam family "Bacterial small subunit ribosomal RNA", at positions 28 to 507 of the family's 1533-position model. The record is from RNAcentral.